UACGAAGGGGGCGAGCGUUGUUCGGAAUUACUGGGCGUAAAGGGCGCGCAGGCGGCCCUUGAAGUCAGGCGUGAAAGCCCCGGGCUCAACCUGGGAAUGGCGAUGGAUACUGGCUCGCUAGAGUGCGGUAGAGGAGAGUGGAAUUCCCGGUGUAGCAGUGAAAUGCGUAGAGAUCGGGAGGAACAUCAGUUGCGAAGGCGGCUCUCUGGACCAGCACUGACACUGAGGCACGAAAGCGUGGGGAGCAAACAGG
Molecule: ribosomal RNA, 253 nt
Filed under: uncultured bacterium
Lineage: Bacteria
Description: partial 16S ribosomal RNA
Rfam family: Bacterial small subunit ribosomal RNA
Source: RNAcentral